This 742-nucleotide ribosomal RNA is filed under the name Drosera hamiltonii. RNAcentral describes it as "eukaryotic LSU rRNA". The stretch from base 330 to 486 matches the Rfam family "5.8S ribosomal RNA". Lineage: Eukaryota; Viridiplantae; Streptophyta; Magnoliopsida; Caryophyllales; Droseraceae. The record is from RNAcentral.
GAGUCGUACAAGGUUUCCGUAGGUGAACUGCGGAAGGAUCAUUGUCGAAACGAAACGAAUGACUCGCGAACGUGUCAACCAAACAGAGGGGACCGAGCGCGGCGUGCGAGACCCCUCCGCAUCGCCUCGCCCCUCGAAUGUCGUGCCGACGCCGUGGUGAGGCGGCUUCCUCGUGUCACGUGGGAUGCUCGUCGAGCGAUGACGGUGGGUGCGACAUCUAACCCAAACCCGGGCGCAAGUCGCGCCAAGGAAGAUGGAUAUACAACCUCCGACCUCCCCUGGGCUUAGGCCACGGGGGCUGGCUUCGUGUGGUAAAAUGCAUAAGAGAUGACUCCCGACAACGGAUAUCUCGGCUCUUGCAUCGAUGAAGAACGUAGCGAAAUGCGAUACUUGGUGUGAAUUGCAGAAUCCCGUGAACCAUCGAGUCUUUGAACGCAAGUUGCGCCCGAGGCCACUACGGUUGAGGGCACGUCUGUCUGGGCGUCGCAUGCAGCGUCACCCGACACCUUCUCCCUUGUUUAGGUGUCGGUGGAGUAUGGCCUCCCGUGUCGUAGGUUAUGACGCGGUUGGUCCAAAUGGGAAGCUCGGGGCAACGAAAGCCGUGACAAUGGGUGGUCAGCGAGGCCGAAAGGCAAGGUUGCGACGUCUUGUCAUUGCAUCGUUUGCCGGUUGCUUGUUUCGAUCCCGAACUGCCACCAUGGCAGGAAUACAUGGCGACCCAGAUCAGGCGGGGCUACCCGCU